RNAcentral lists this long non-coding RNA (456 nucleotides) under Anas platyrhynchos platyrhynchos (common mallard). Its description in RNAcentral is "lncRNA (ENSAPLG00000022093.1)". Lineage: Eukaryota; Metazoa; Chordata; Aves; Anseriformes; Anatidae. The record is from RNAcentral.
AUGACAGAGUUGAAUGCACAUAAAGCGACACUACUGCUGAGAAGGGCCGGGUGCUCCUCAGCAGUGUUGCUGCUCCCAGGCCUGUUGAAGGUACUGCUGAACCUUUCCCAGGAACUUGUCUCUGCAUGCUGUGAAGACAACACGCUCUCUGCUGUUUGGAUUAAUGCUACAAGGACCAUGGGAGUUGCUCUUCUGCAGCGCAGGAUUGACUUCUGUAAGAGGAAUCAUUGCGGGGACAGGAUUCAUUCACGAUCCAUAUCCUUCUCCUCUUCACUGGGACAGCGGUUGGCAGCCAGGGGUUGGCAGAUGCUUAUCAAAAUGUCUAUUACUAAACAAAAACUGGCUUUUAGUCUACAUGUGUUUCUAGCUAAUAAGGAACUACCUGUUUGUAUCCUUUCCCCAGAUAAUGCGAAGUUGGUUUAUUUUUCCCAAUUAAUGCAUAGUUCUUUGGAUUAA